UACGGAAGGCAGCAGUGGGGAAUAUUGCACAAUGGGCGCAAGCCUGAUGCAGCCAUGCCGCGUGUAUGAAGAAGGCCUUCGGGUUGUAAAGUACUUUCAGUCGUGAGGAAGGUGUUAAGGUUAAUAACCUUAGCAAUUGACGUUAGCGACAGAAGAAGCACCGGCUAACUCCGUGCCAGCAGCCGCGGUAAUACGGAGGGUGCGAGCGUUAAUCGGAAUUACUGGGCGUAAAGGGCACGCAUGCGGUUAAUUAAGUUGGAUGUGAAAUCCCCGGGCUUAACCUGGGAAUGGCAUUCAAGACUGGUUAGCUAGAGUCUUGUAGAGGGGGUAGAAUUCCAUGUGUAGCUGUGAAUGCGUAGAGAUGUGGAGGAAUACCGGUGGCGAAGGCGGCCCCUGGGACAAGACUGACGCUCAUGUGCGAAAGCGUGGGGAGCAAACAGGAUUAGGAUAACC
This 453-nucleotide ribosomal RNA is filed under the name uncultured bacterium. RNAcentral's name for it is "bacterial SSU rRNA". It matches the Rfam family "Bacterial small subunit ribosomal RNA", at positions 340 to 787 of the family's 1533-position model. The record is from RNAcentral.